RNAcentral lists this ribosomal RNA (496 nucleotides) under uncultured bacterium. Its description in RNAcentral is "partial 16S ribosomal RNA". It matches the Rfam family "Bacterial small subunit ribosomal RNA", at positions 29 to 507 of the family's 1533-position model. The record is from RNAcentral.
AUGAACGCUGGCGGCGUGCCUAAUACAUGCAAGGCGAGCGAACAGACGAGGAGCUUGCUCCUCUGACGUUAGCGGCGGACGGGUGAGUAACACGUGGAUAACCUACCUAUAAGACUGGGAUAACUUCGGGAAACCGGAGCUAAUACCGGAUAAUAUAUUGAACCGCAUGGUUCAAUAGUGAAAGACGGUUUUGCUGUCACUUAUAGAUGGAUCCGCGCCGCAUUAGCUAGUUGGUAAGGUAACGGCUUACCAAGGCAACGAUGCGUAGCCGACCUGAGAGGGUGAUCGGCCACACUGGAACUGAGACACGGUCCAGACUCCUACGGGAGGCAGCAGUAGGGAAUCUUCCGCAAUGGGCGAAAGCCUGACGGAGCAACGCCGCGUGAGUGAUGAAGGUCUUCGGAUCGUAAAACUCUGUUAUUAGGGAAGAACAAAUGUGUAAGUAACUAUGCACGUCUUGACGGUACCUAAUCAGAAAGCCACGGCUAACUACGUG